AUGGUGAUCCCUCCACCAGACAGGGCAGCUAGAAUCGUCGGUUUUCUCAAGCCCAACCUUUUGAGGAUGGAUUUCUCGAACAAGUUUGUGACCGCCCAGGUGAUCCACACCCCAACAACAACCGUCCCGUGUUCUGCGAGCUCACGGGAGAAGCUGCUGAGAUCGCACAUGUAG
Molecule: ribosomal RNA, 174 nt
Filed under: Triticum aestivum (bread wheat)
Lineage: Eukaryota; Viridiplantae; Streptophyta; Magnoliopsida; Poales; Poaceae
Description: partial small subunit ribosomal RNA
Source: RNAcentral